RNAcentral lists this long non-coding RNA (203 nucleotides) under Lotus japonicus. RNAcentral's name for it is "long non-coding RNA (LJAP_LNC000806)". The record is from RNAcentral. Lineage: Eukaryota; Viridiplantae; Streptophyta; Magnoliopsida; Fabales; Fabaceae.
UAAUACUUUCAAUCAUGCAAUCCUGACUAAGAUUAAAACUAUCCAAGAGAAAUUUCAGAGUCAAAGAUUUCUAAAUUUCAUGCAAUGCUGAGGAAAGCAAUCAGCAAUUCUAACAGCAAAGAUUGUAAGGAACUAUGAAGCUAAAUUAGGAAACACCAACAAAGAGGGGAAUGAUACUGCCCUGAUUCAUGAUGAUUAAGGUU